Molecule: ribosomal RNA, 492 nt
Filed under: uncultured bacterium
Lineage: Bacteria
Description: partial 16S ribosomal RNA
Rfam family: Bacterial small subunit ribosomal RNA
Source: RNAcentral
AGUGAACGCUGGCGGUAGGCCUAACACAUGCAAGUCGAACGGCAGCACAGUAAGAGCUUGCUCUUACGGGUGGCGAGUGGCGGACGGGUGAGGAAUACAUCGGAAUCUACUUUUUCGUGGGGGAGAACGUAGGGAAACUUACGCUAAUACCGCAUACGACCUAUGGGUGAAAGCAGGGGAUCUUCGGACCUUGCGCGAUUGAAUGAGCCGAUGUCGGAUUAGCUAGUUGGCGGGGUAAAGGCCCACCAAGGCGACGAUCCGUAGCUGGUCUGAGAGGAUGACCAGCCACACUGGAACUGAGACACGGUCCAGACUCCUACGGGAGGCAGCAGUGGGGAAUAUUGGACAAAGGGCGCAAGCCUGAUCCAGCCAUACCGCGUGGGUGAAGAAGGCCUUCGGGUUGUAAAGCCCUUUUGUUGGGAAAGAAAAGCAGCAGGUUAAUACCCCGCUGUUCUGACGGUACCCAAAGAAUAAGCACCGGCUAACUUCGUG